UGAAACAAUAACAUAAAACUUGGCCUUGGACCUCAAUCUUGAAAUUCUUAACUUCAAAGCUGUUGGUGUUAAAUGACUCUUCUGAUUUUAUAAAGCUUAAUCUUUGGUAGAAGAACUUGAUGUGGAAAGCCAAUGUUUCUACUCACUGUUAGUUUUCGGGCCUCAAAAUUCAGGAUUUUGCCUCCAGAGCAUUUCUUGAAAAAAGUGCUGUGGAGGUAGAGGCCUCUCAACAGCAAUUUGUCCCUUGCCCAAGACAAAUUUGCCUCAGCUUAUUUUAGGCAUAGCAACCCUGCCAGAGUGAUUGCGGAGCUCCCGUGGCAAUGCACACCUGGAUCCGGAGCCUAAGAACUGGGGCUGUAUAAUUAGAAUAAGGCAGCCAGGCCCAUAACUUUGGGGUUACCAUUUGCCGCGAGUGCCGUGGAGAAUUUACCAUUCAGAAUCAAAAGUUAAGUGAGAACCAUUAUCUUUUUCAGCCCCUCCACCUGAUGACCCACAUUAACAGGGAAGGAGAUGAAGGCAUUCAGAUUUGGUAUGGCAUCGUCAUUCUACUGACAAGCCAUGGCCCGUUAACAAAAUUUACCAAGGACCACAGUUCUUUGCUGCGACAGUGGCUGGGUUUUGCUGACCACAAUACCAUUUGAACUGGAAAUGUUGUUGCGAGAAGAAUCCGUCUUGGGAUACAAGCCUAAUAGCAAGAUCAGAGGGCAUGGUUCCCACGAAGGCUGUCCAAGGGAGAUUCAGCAACCUACUUGAUCAGCAUGGUUUCAAGAUCAUUGGGCUUGGGUGUCACGGGGGCCUGGAGAAACCAUCACGUUGCAUGGAUGCUCGGAGACUCUCGUCACCCCUGGAAUGCCUGCUGUGAACAAGAGCUGGGGCUGAACCAAGCUGAGAUUAUUGACAAUCCCUAUCAUGUUGCCAACGUCACCAAUGGCAGGACUGAAGAUGGAUCCAUUGGAAACUAAAGGCUUUUCCUCAGCCAACACCUCAUGAACUAGACUGGAAAAUAGCACAGGUGAUCAAGACUGAUACCGCACAAUCUUCCUCCUGGUUAACAAGCUAAGACCAAUCCAGAUGGGGAGGGUUGGCCCUCCAACACCACUACCAAUGCUCUCAGCUGGGAUCAGUGGACUGCAGCAAUAUCUUACUGAAGACAAAGAUGAGGGAAUCUACAAUGUUGAUGCAAGAUUGCCCUGUGAUGUCCAGGCGUCUUUGACUACAAUGCUUUGGUUCACCAGUAGGUCCUCGGAUGGUAAAGUUUGGACACAACAUCCUGAGCAUGAAGAAUAUUCUGAAAGACAGCACAAACAAUAUUUGGACAUUCAAUUUUUCAGCUGAGAAGGACCUUUUUUCAAGUUAGGACUAAAGCCCCUGGGCCUGCUUUAGGCCUAUAACUGUAGUUUGUGCUCUGUAGUAUGUGAUUUGAAAAGAUUGGAGUAAGGAUUGUACAAUGGAACAAGUGUCAUUUUGUUUGCCACAGUAACUUAAGGCAGUGUUAGUGACCCAUUUGUUUUCAGUUUACAAAGCCAUCAUGAUCAACUGCAUUGAUCCCUCAAAAGAUUGUUGGAGUGACUCCAUUAAAUGUAACAAAAAUAUCCAACACCUGGUACUCUAGUUACUGUAGGUUAGCUACUGAAGUGACCUUUUUGUUUUCACUUUUAAAAACCUAUGCGAUUUGCCGCACUGAAGGUCCCUCCUGAGAUUGUUGGACUGGGUCCAUUAAAUGUGACAAAAAUAUCCAACACCUAUUUACAAAUGAAGUGAGGGGGUCAGCCUUUUGGUGUAACUCCAUAUAACUGUCUGGUGAUUUCGCUCUGGGCUUGUGACAUUCUGAUCGGUCUGAAAUAAUCAUUGUCGCCCAUCCCUCAAUUUGAGGCCUGUGUCCCGAUGGUGGCGUUGAAUGGCAAAAUCAAAGGGGCAU
Molecule: long non-coding RNA, 1918 nt
Organism: Lineus longissimus
Lineage: Eukaryota; Metazoa; Nemertea; Pilidiophora; Heteronemertea; Lineidae
Exons: 5
Source: RefSeq, a predicted model, not a curated record